GGGCCCGCACAAGCGGUGGAGUAUGUGGUUUAAUUCGACGAAACGCGAAGAACCUUACCUGGGCUUGAACUGCUGAUAGUAAAAGCCGGAAACGGCGAUGAUCCGCAAGGAAGUCAGCAGAGGUGUUGCAUGGCUGUCGUCAGCUCGUGUCGUGAGAUGUUGGGUUAAGUCCCGCAACGAGCGCAACCCUUAUCCCAUGUUACCUGUAGUAAUACAGGAUCUCUGAGGAAACUGCCAUUGAUAAAAUGGAGGAGGGUGGGGAUGAUGUCAGGUAGCAUGACCUUUAUAUCCAGGGCUACACACGUACUACAAUGGCCGGUACAGAGGGCAGCAAUACCGCAAGGUACAGCAAAUCCCUAAAAGCCGGCCUCAGUUCGGAUUGCGGGCUGCAAUUCGCCCGCAUGAAGCAGGAAUCGCUAGUAAAUCGCAGAUCAGCAGGCUG
Molecule: ribosomal RNA, 442 nt
Filed under: uncultured Elusimicrobia bacterium
Lineage: Bacteria; Pseudomonadati; Elusimicrobiota; Elusimicrobia
Description: bacterial SSU rRNA
Rfam family: Bacterial small subunit ribosomal RNA
Source: RNAcentral